UGAUCUGUGUGUGUCUAUUUUCUCAGGAAAAUAGAUAACAUAUGGAAAGGCAGCGGGCUUUGUAACUUUGAUUGGAAGUCUACUUCUUCCUUAAAAGCAUGGGUGAAGGGAUGAGUUGAAUCAAACCAAACCCAGCUAAUAAAGGAUGAGUUAAGGCUUCGACCUUAGCUUAAGGCUCUGCCAUAGAAAUGAGAGUUGGCGUGGGAGAGUAACUAUCUAUAUCCAUAGAAAUGGUUAUGUUGUAUUACAUCUGGCCAGGAGGAGACCUUUGUAAAAGUGUUUCUUGGCAUCACAAAUGUAAUAUUCAUAAAUAAAAUAAGUGUUACAAAUUUGAAUGCUUACCUUUCCGUA
Non-coding RNA from Prunus mume (Japanese apricot), 351 nucleotides. The record is from RefSeq and is a predicted model, not a curated record. NCBI's taxonomy places the organism in Eukaryota, Viridiplantae, Streptophyta, Magnoliopsida, Rosales, Rosaceae.